Dreissena polymorpha is the source of this 717-nucleotide long non-coding RNA. RefSeq lists it as uncharacterized. The transcript is spliced from 4 exons. Lineage: Eukaryota; Metazoa; Mollusca; Bivalvia; Myida; Dreissenidae. The record is from RefSeq and is a predicted model, not a curated record.
AACACGGCCUAUACGGCGUGGAUAUAAUUUUGUUAUUGUUUUCUCCACACUAUGGUUACGACAAUAGAUAUAAAUUAAACAGCGUAUCGGGUGUAUUCAGAAGGAGUUUGCGCGGAUCAGACAUAACAACAUGAAGGCUGUAACACUGAUAGUUGGCGUUACUCUCUUAAUGUGUUUACUGGACUCGGUACAAGGAGUGAGUACUCCGUCCAAUGGCAGUGCUUUGACAACCGCAGCCCCAAGUACCGGACUGGUAGCAACUACUGCUGCAAACGGGACACAAGGCGGAAACAGCGGCUCACAGAGGUUUUCGUUCACACCGUUUUCCGUCUUUAUCAUGGCCGUUUUUUUCGCCACUGCAAAUAUUGCUUUGGCUUAAGUGGGUGGCAUUCCAGCCGAGCGUAUGACUGACGACCAUUGAUCGCUUGGAGAAACUUAAACAAACGAGAUUUUUUUUCUCGACUUAUUUUCUGUUUUCAGACUUCGGGUGGUGCAUUUACAAUUAUAGUGUGUGAUAUGCAUAGGCCGUGUUCAUGCAUUGUUUACCGUGCGAUAUAUAACAUGGCAUGCAAUGACGAAAACAUGUUGUUCGAAUGCCAGUGUUAUUAUAACGCGUACUGUGCUUGCUUCCAUGUAUCUGCUUGUUUCUCAGAAGAACUGCGUUACAUUUGCUGACUUUAAUUAUACAAAAAUGAAAGAAUAUCCACUACAACUGUU